GGUAUCCUGUCUGAAUAUGGGGGGACCAUCCUCCAAGGCUAAAUACUCCUGACUGACCGAUAGUGAACCAGUACCGUGAGGGAAAGGCGAAAAGAACCCCGGCGAGGGGAGUGAAAAAGAACCUGAAACCGUGUACGUACAAGCAGUGGGAGCACGCUUAGGCGUGUGACUGCGUACCUUUUGUAUAAUGGGUCAGCGACUUAUAUUCUGUAGCAAGGUUAACCGAAUAGGGGAGCCGAAGGGAAACCGAGUCUUAACUGGGCGUUAAGUUGCAGGGUAUAGACCCGAAACCCGGUGAUCUAGCCAUGGGCAGGUUGAAGGUUGGGUAACACUAACUGGAGGACCGAACCGACUAAUGUUGAAAAAUUAGCGGAUGACUUGUGGCUGGGGGUGAAAGGCCAAUCAAACCGGGAGAUAGCUGGUUCUCCCCGAAAGCUAUUUAGGUAGCGCCUCGUGAAUUCAUCUCCGGGGGUAGAGCACUGUUUCGGCAAGGGGGUCAUCCCGACUUACCAACCCGAUGCAAACUGCGAAUACCGGAGAAUGUUAUCACGGGAGACACACGGCGGGUGCUAACGUCCGUCGUGAAGAGGGAAACAACCCAGACCGCCAGCUAAGGUCCCAAAGUCAUGGUUAAGUGGGAAACGAUGUGGGAAGGCCCAGACAGCCAGGAUGUUGGCUUAGAAGCAGCCAUCAUUUAAAGAAAGCGUAAUAGCUCACUGGUCGAGUCGGCCUGCGCGGAAGAUGUAACGGGGCUAAACCAUGCACCGAAGCUGCGGCAGCGACGCUGAUGCGUUGUUGGGUAGGGGAGCGUUCUGUAAGCCUGCGAAGGUGUGCUGUGAGG
Molecule: ribosomal RNA, 841 nt
Filed under: Escherichia coli
Lineage: Bacteria; Pseudomonadati; Pseudomonadota; Gammaproteobacteria; Enterobacterales; Enterobacteriaceae
Description: bacterial LSU rRNA
Rfam family: Bacterial large subunit ribosomal RNA
Source: RNAcentral